Molecule: RNA transcript, 2593 nt
Organism: Homo sapiens (human)
Lineage: Eukaryota; Metazoa; Chordata; Mammalia; Primates; Hominidae
Gene: MMP17
Gene name: matrix metallopeptidase 17
Exons: 11
Source: RefSeq, marked reviewed
AGUCCGGCGGGGGCGCCGCGGAGAGCGGAGGGCGCCGGGCUGCGGAACGCGAAGCGGAGGGCGCGGGACCCUGCACGCCGCCCGCGGGCCCAUGUGAGCGCCAUGCGGCGCCGCGCAGCCCGGGGACCCGGCCCGCCGCCCCCAGGGCCCGGACUCUCGCGGCUGCCGCUGCCGCUGCUGCUGCUGCUGGCGCUGGGGACCCGCGGGGGCUGCGCCGCGCCCGCACCCGCGCCGCGCGCCGAGGACCUCAGCCUGGGAGUGGAGUGGCUAAGCAGGUUCGGUUACCUGCCCCCGGCUGACCCCACAACAGGGCAGCUGCAGACGCAAGAGGAGCUGUCUAAGGCCAUCACAGCCAUGCAGCAGUUUGGUGGCCUGGAGGCCACCGGCAUCCUGGACGAGGCCACCCUGGCCCUGAUGAAAACCCCACGCUGCUCCCUGCCAGACCUCCCUGUCCUGACCCAGGCUCGCAGGAGACGCCAGGCUCCAGCCCCCACCAAGUGGAACAAGAGGAACCUGUCGUGGAGGGUCCGGACGUUCCCACGGGACUCACCACUGGGGCACGACACGGUGCGUGCACUCAUGUACUACGCCCUCAAGGUCUGGAGCGACAUUGCGCCCCUGAACUUCCACGAGGUGGCGGGCAGCGCCGCCGACAUCCAGAUCGACUUCUCCAAGGCCGACCAUAACGACGGCUACCCCUUCGACGGCCCCGGCGGCACCGUGGCCCACGCCUUCUUCCCCGGCCACCACCACACCGCCGGGGACACCCACUUUGACGAUGACGAGGCCUGGACCUUCCGCUCCUCGGAUGCCCACGGGAUGGACCUGUUUGCAGUGGCUGUCCACGAGUUUGGCCACGCCAUUGGGUUAAGCCAUGUGGCCGCUGCACACUCCAUCAUGCGGCCGUACUACCAGGGCCCGGUGGGUGACCCGCUGCGCUACGGGCUCCCCUACGAGGACAAGGUGCGCGUCUGGCAGCUGUACGGUGUGCGGGAGUCUGUGUCUCCCACGGCGCAGCCCGAGGAGCCUCCCCUGCUGCCGGAGCCCCCAGACAACCGGUCCAGCGCCCCGCCCAGGAAGGACGUGCCCCACAGAUGCAGCACUCACUUUGACGCGGUGGCCCAGAUCCGGGGUGAAGCUUUCUUCUUCAAAGGCAAGUACUUCUGGCGGCUGACGCGGGACCGGCACCUGGUGUCCCUGCAGCCGGCACAGAUGCACCGCUUCUGGCGGGGCCUGCCGCUGCACCUGGACAGCGUGGACGCCGUGUACGAGCGCACCAGCGACCACAAGAUCGUCUUCUUUAAAGGAUUUCCUUCCUGGCUGAGGCUGAGCGGCAUUCCAUGGCACGGACGGACUGCACCUCGUUCGCCUGCUCACUUGGGUUUCCUCUACUCUGGGCUCCUGUGAAGGACGCUGCUAUGAGCGUGAGUGUGCAAACGUCUCUCCAAGACCCUGCUUUCGGUUCUUUUGGAUUUAUACCCAGAAGCGGGAAUGCUGGAUCACGUGGUAAUUCUAUUUUUGACGUUUUGGGGAGCCUAUGUUCUGUCUCCCGCAGCGGCUGCACAAUUUCAUACUCCCUCCCCGGCAGCGCCCGGCUCUGCCGUCCCCAUAUCCUCCCGACACAGGACCAGCUGUACUGGCGCUACGAUGACCACACGAGGCACAUGGACCCCGGCUACCCCGCCCAGAGCCCCCUGUGGAGGGGUGUCCCCAGCACGCUGGACGACGCCAUGCGCUGGUCCGACGGUGCCUCCUACUUCUUCCGUGGCCAGGAGUACUGGAAAGUGCUGGAUGGCGAGCUGGAGGUGGCACCCGGGUACCCACAGUCCACGGCCCGGGACUGGCUGGUGUGUGGAGACUCACAGGCCGAUGGAUCUGUGGCUGCGGGCGUGGACGCGGCAGAGGGGCCCCGCGCCCCUCCAGGACAACAUGACCAGAGCCGCUCGGAGGACGGUUACGAGGUCUGCUCAUGCACCUCUGGGGCAUCCUCUCCCCCGGGGGCCCCAGGCCCACUGGUGGCUGCCACCAUGCUGCUGCUGCUGCCGCCACUGUCACCAGGCGCCCUGUGGACAGCGGCCCAGGCCCUGACGCUAUGACACACAGCGCGAGCCCAUGAGAGGACAGAGGCGGUGGGACAGCCUGGCCACAGAGGGCAAGGACUGUGCCGGAGUCCCUGGGGGAGGUGCUGGCGCGGGAUGAGGACGGGCCACCCUGGCACCGGAAGGCCAGCAGAGGGCACUGUCCGCCAGGGCUGGGCAGGCUCAGGUGGCAAGGACGGAGCUGUCCCCUAGUGAGGGACUGUGUUGACUGACGAGCCGAGGGGUGGCCGCUCCAGAAGGGUGCCCAGUCAGGCCGCACCGCCGCCAGCCUCCUCCGGCCCUGGAGGGAGCAUCUCGGGCUGGGGGCCCACCCCUCUCUGUGCCGGCGCCACCAACCCCACCCACACUGCUGCCUGGUGCUCCCGCCGGCCCACAGGGCCUCCGUCCCCAGGUCCCCAGUGGGGCAGCCCUCCCCACAGACGAGCCCCCCACAUGGUGCCGCGGCACGUCCCCCCUGUGACGCGUUCCAGACCAACAUGACCUCUCCCUGCUUU